GACGAACGCUGGCGGCGUGCUUAACACAUGCAAGUCGAACGGAAAGGCCCUGCUUGCAGGGUGCUCGAGUGGCGAACGGGUGAGUAACACGUGGGUGAUCUGCCCCUUACUUUGGGAUAAGCCUGGGAAACUGGGUCUAAUACUGGAUAGGACCAUGCUGUAGGUGGUGUGGUGGAAAGAUUAGUUUCGGUAAGGGAUGAGCUCGCGGCCUAUCAGCUUGUUGGUGGGGUAAUGGCCUACCAAGGCGUCGACGGGUAGCCGGCCUGAGAGGGUGGACGGCCAGGUUGGGACUGAGAGGCGGCCCAGAGGCCGGCGGGGGGGAGCAGUGGGGGAUAUGGCACAAGGGGGGCAAGGCUGAUGCAGCGACGGCGCGUGGGGGGUGACGGCCUUCGGGUUGUAAACUCCUUUCAGCCAUGACGAAGCCCUUGUGGUGACGGUAGUGGUAGAAGAAGCACCGGCUAACUACGUG
Molecule: ribosomal RNA, 469 nt
Filed under: uncultured bacterium
Lineage: Bacteria
Description: partial 16S ribosomal RNA
Rfam family: Bacterial small subunit ribosomal RNA
Source: RNAcentral